GGGUUGUGAGGUUAAGCGACUAAGCGUACACGGUGGAUGCCCUGGCAGUCAGAGGCGAUGAAGGACGUGCUAAUCUGCGAUAAGCGUCGGUAAGGUGAUAUGAACCGUUAUAACCGGCGAUUUCCGAAUGGGGAAACCCAGUGUGUUUCGACACACUAUCAUUAACUGAAUCCAUAGGUUAAUGAGGCGAACCGGGGGAACUGAAACAUCUAAGUACCCCGAGGAAAAGAAAUCAACCGAGAUUCCCCCAGUAGCGGCGAGCGAACGGGGAGGAGCCCAGAGCCUGAAUCAGUGUGUGUGUUAGUGGAAGCGUCUGGAAAGGCGCGCGAUACAGGGUGACAGCCCCGUACACAAAAAUGCACAUGCUGUGAGCUCGAUGAGUAGGGCGGGACACGUGGUAUCCUGUCUGAAUAUGGGGGGACCAUCCUCCAAGGCUAAAUACUCCUGACUGACCGAUAGUGAACCAGUACCGUGAGGGAAAGGCGAAAAGAACCCCGGUGAGGGGAGUGAAAAAGAACCUGAAACCGUGUACGUACAAGCAGUGGGAGCACGCUUAGGCGUGUGACUGCGUACCUUUUGUAUAAUGGGUCAGCGACUUAUAUUCUGUAGCAAGGUUAACCGAAUAGGGGAGCCGAAGGGAAACCGAGUCUUAACUGGGCGUUAAGUUGCAGGGUAUAGACCCGAAACCCGGUGAUCUAGCCAUGGGCAGGUUGAAGGUUGGGUAACACUAACUGGAGGACCGAACCGACUAAUGUUGAAAAAUUAGCGGAUGACUUGUGGCUGGGGGUGAAAGGCCAAUCAAACCGGGAGAUAGCUGGUUCUCCCCGAAAGCUAUUUAGGUAGCGCCUCGUGAAUUCAUCUCCGGGGGUAGAGCACUGUUUCGGCAAGGGGGUCAUCCCGACUUACCAACCCGAUGCAAACUGCGAAUACCGGAGAAUGUUAUCACGGGAGACACACGGCGGGUGCUAACGUCCGUCGUGAAGAGGGAAACAACCCAGACCGCCAGCUAAGGUCCCAAAGUCAUGGUUAAGUGGGAAACGAUGUGGGAAGGCCCAGACAGCCAGGAUGUUGGCUUAGAAGCAGCCAUCAUUUAAAGAAAGCGUAAUAGCUCACUGGUCGAGUCGGCCUGCGCGGAAGAUGUAACGGGGCUAAACCAUGCACCGAAGCUGCGGCAGCGACGCUGAUGCGUUGUUGGGUAGGGGAGCGUUCUGUAAGCCUGUGAAGGUGUGCUGUGAGGCAUGCUGGAGGUAUCAGAAGUGCGAAUGCUGACAUAAGUAACGAUAAAGCGGGUGAAAAGCCCGCUCGCCGGAAGACCAAGGGUUCCUGUCCAACGUUAAUCGGGGCAGGGUGAGUCGACCCCUAAGGCGAGGCCGAAAGGCGUAGUCGAUGGGAAACAGGUUAAUAUUCCUGUACUUGGUGUUACUGCGAAGGGGGGACGGAGAAGGCUAUGUUGGCCGGGCGACGGUUGUCCCGGUUUAAGCGUGUAGGCUGGUUUUCCAGGCAAAUCCGGAAAAUCAAGGCUGAGGCGUGAUGACGAGGCACUACGGUGCUGAAGCAACAAAUGCCCUGCUUCCAGGAAAAGCCUCUAAGCAUCAGGUAACAUCAAAUCGUACCCCAAACCGACACAGGUGGUCAGGUAGAGAAUACCAAGGCGCUUGAGAGAACUCGGGUGAAGGAACUAGGCAAAAUGGUGCCGUAACUUCGGGAGAAGGCACGCUGAUAUGUAGGUGAAGCGACUUGCUCGUGGAGCUGAAAUCAGUCGAAGAUACCAGCUGGCUGCAACUGUUUAUUAAAAACACAGCACUGUGCAAACACGAAAGUGGACGUAUACGGUGUGACGCCUGCCCGGUGCCGGAAGGUUAAUUGAUGGGGUUAGCGCAAGCGAAGCUCUUGAUCGAAGCCCCGGUAAACGGCGGCCGUAACUAUAACGGUCCUAAGGUAGCGAAAUUCCUUGUCGGGUAAGUUCCGACCUGCACGAAUGGCGUAAUGAUGGCCAGGCUGUCUCCACCCGAGACUCAGUGAAAUUGAACUCGCUGUGAAGAUGCAGUGUACCCGCGGCAAGACGGAAAGACCCCGUGAACCUUUACUAUAGCUUGACACUGAACAUUGAGCCUUGAUGUGUAGGAUAGGUGGGAGGCUUAGAAGUGUGGACGCCAGUCUGCAUGGAGCCGACCUUGAAAUACCACCCUUUAAUGUUUGAUGUUCUAACGUUGACCCGUAAUCCGGGUUGCGGACAGUGUCUGGUGGGUAGUUUGACUGGGGCGGUCUCCUCCUAAAGAGUAACGGAGGAGCACGAAGGUUGGCUAAUCCUGGUCGGACAUCAGGAGGUUAGUGCAAUGGCAUAAGCCAGCUUGACUGCGAGCGUGACGGCGCGAGCAGGUGCGAAAGCAGGUCAUAGUGAUCCGGUGGUUCUGAAUGGAAGGGCCAUCGCUCAACGGAUAAAAGGUACUCCGGGGAUAACAGGCUGAUACCGCCCAAGAGUUCAUAUCGACGGCGGUGUUUGGCACCUCGAUGUCGGCUCAUCACAUCCUGGGGCUGAAGUAGGUCCCAAGGGUAUGGCUGUUCGCCAUUUAAAGUGGUACGCGAGCUGGGUUUAGAACGUCGUGAGACAGUUCGGUCCCUAUCUGCCGUGGGCGCUGGAGAACUGAGGGGGGCUGCUCCUAGUACGAGAGGACCGGAGUGGACGCAUCACUGGUGUUCGGGUUGUCAUGCCAAUGGCACUGCCCGGUAGCUAAAUGCGGAAGAGAUAAGUGCUGAAAGCAUCUAAGCACGAAACUUGCCCCGAGAUGAGUUCUCCCUGACCCUUUAAGGGUCCUGAAGGAACGUUGAAGACGACGACGUUGAUAGGCCGGGUGUGUAAGCGCAGCGAUGCGUUGAGCUAACCGGUACUAAUGAACCGUGAGGCUUAACCUUACAACGCCGAAGCUGUU
RNAcentral lists this ribosomal RNA (2930 nucleotides) under Escherichia coli. RNAcentral's name for it is "23S ribosomal RNA". It matches the Rfam family "Bacterial large subunit ribosomal RNA". Lineage: Bacteria; Pseudomonadati; Pseudomonadota; Gammaproteobacteria; Enterobacterales; Enterobacteriaceae. The record is from RNAcentral.